CCCAACUAUCCCUAUUAAUCAUUACGGUGGUCCUAGAAACCAACAAAAUAGAACCAUGCCGUCCUAUUUUAUUAUUCCAUGCUAAUGUAUUCAAGCAAAAAUGCCUGCUUUAAACACUCUAAUUUUUUCAAAGUAAAGGUCCUGGUUCCCCGCGGCAUCCAAUUAAGGACAUCGCGGUUCUCCAGAAGGUGAGAAAUUGACUGCACCAGUUCAUACCCCGUGAGGCACGACCGAUGCGCCAAUCCCGAAAUUCAACUACGAGCUUUUUAACUGCAACAACUUUAAUAUACGCUAUUGGAGCUGGAAUUACCGCGGCUGCUGGCACCAGACUUGCCCUCCAA
Molecule: unclassified non-coding RNA, 341 nt
Filed under: uncultured Glomerales
Lineage: Eukaryota; Fungi; Glomeromycota; Glomeromycetes; Glomerales; Glomeraceae
Also listed under: 1 other name
Description: sequence contains 18S rRNA gene
Source: RNAcentral